Molecule: long non-coding RNA, 1256 nt
Filed under: Olea europaea subsp. europaea
Lineage: Eukaryota; Viridiplantae; Streptophyta; Magnoliopsida; Lamiales; Oleaceae
Source: RNAcentral
CUUGCCUUUCCUUCAAAGAUCUUAUAGGCUCUGAUACCACUGAAGGAAUUUUAUCACAAAGAGGAAGAAAAGAUGAAAACUUAAAAGAAGAAAAUGAGCUACAAUCUUCAUUAUUACCAGUUGCCAAUACAUAUAAGAUACAAAAGGAUUACAACCAUGUUGUUCACUACCAACUUCUACCAACUACAGCCAUACUUUGACAGAUUAAUACCAGGCUUUGAUAGACACUUUGAUAACAAAAAUAAACAUUACAUAGACUUAAUUUUAAUACUUAAAGUCACAAUACAAAAGGUGACAGCAAAAGUGGCCACAAAUAUCAAUAAAAGGGUUGCUGUGUGUGGAUUAACAGCAACAAUAACAAUUAAGCCUUGUUCUGAACAAAUUUGGGGUCGACUACAUGAAUCCUUGUUUACCAAUCCGCACACCUGCAAUCUGUUCUAGCUUGUAAUAACACGAAUACCCUAUUCUUCCCUGAUCUUGAUUCACAGUAGAGGCACUUCACUCUCGUAGUAGCUAAUUAGAGAGGUCGACUCUAUAGAGAAUUAUUCAAAACGAAAGAAGAAAGCCCGUCAACCAAUCCACCAGAGACAGGUUGUUUCAGAUAUCUAACACAUUAUUUUGUCAAGUCCGGUUGUGGAUGGGAUCUGACCCUCUUCUAACACUUCGUUCGCUCGACCAAUUUGGAUCAGAAGUAUUGCUUGUGUGUGCUGGUUUCUUAUCAGUCUUGAAUCCCUUCACAACAGCGGCCUUUCGCUGAUUCUUUACCAUUUCACGAUAAUCUUCUCCACUACGUCGUAGAUCCAGGUCUAUACUUCUCAGACAACAAACUUGUUCUGCAUGAAAUGCUAAUAGUCCUAUUCCUAUACAGAUGAAUAGAACAAAUGUCCUAUGACUAUAAACAAACAUAGUUUUGUUUUUAGGGGAAAAUAAGAUUUCUAAGAGUAUGCUUUCUUGGUGUCAGUGUAUGUUCCUAUGUUCCAUUCCUGUAGAUAUAAGCCUAUGAUUAUUUCUGAUAGUUUUGGUGGGGAAUUUACAGCAAAAAGCCAGAAGGAACCAGAAUCCAUUGUGGAGUUAUAGAUUCAAUUCAAUCAUAAAUCUUCUAUCCAAGUAAAUUAAAGCUGUUAUUGAAGAAUCUGACUGAGAUGAAUAAAGGUAAUUGGAACAAAACCCUCGAGAAGCUAAGCAUCUUUUUCUGUUUGUUCCCCUUUUGUGCGAAAACAAAGACCUAUCUUGUACUUUGAACUCAUGGCCCUCCG